This 74-nucleotide transfer RNA is filed under the name Nocardia otitidiscaviarum. RNAcentral describes it as "tRNA-Pro(cgg)". The record is from RNAcentral. Lineage: Bacteria; Bacillati; Actinomycetota; Actinomycetes; Mycobacteriales; Nocardiaceae.
UGUCGGCCUGGGACAGGGUGAUCCGCCCGCUCGGCACGGGCGCGAACCCCGGGCCGUCACCGCGGUCGGCGGCC